AACGUAGGAGACAAACGUUAUCCGGAGUUACUGGGCGUAAAGGGCGUGUAGGUGGUUUCGUAAGUCUGGCGUGAAAUUUUUCGGCUUAACCGGGAAAGGUCGUCGGAUACUGCGGAACUAGAGGACGGUAGAGGCGUGUGGAAUUCCGGGUGUAGUGGUGAAAUGCGUAGAGAUCCGGAGGAACACCAGUGGCGAAGGCGACACGCUGGGCCGUACCUGACACUGAUGCGCGACAGCAUGGGGGAGCAAACAGG
RNAcentral lists this ribosomal RNA (254 nucleotides) under uncultured bacterium. RNAcentral describes it as "partial 16S ribosomal RNA". It matches the Rfam family "Bacterial small subunit ribosomal RNA", at positions 524 to 776 of the family's 1533-position model. The record is from RNAcentral.